Molecule: ribosomal RNA, 648 nt
Filed under: Orthocentrus sp. BF000410
Lineage: Eukaryota; Metazoa; Arthropoda; Insecta; Hymenoptera; Ichneumonidae
Description: eukaryotic LSU rRNA
Rfam family: Eukaryotic large subunit ribosomal RNA
Source: RNAcentral
CCGAAAGAUCGAAUGGGGAGAUUCAGCGUCAGCGUUGCUGGUACGCGGUUUGGUUCACGAUGCCGGGGACUUCGGUCUCGCGGCACGCGUCCUUCCGCUAUCCGGCAUCGUCGGCGUGCACUUCUCCCCUAGUAGGACGUCGCGACCCGUUGGGUGUCGGUCUACGGUCCCGUGUGGUUGCCUGUCUCGUGUGGCGCUUUAUCGCGUCACCGCGGGGCAGACCCUCGGUUGGCCGACCGGCUGCCCGGCGGUACUCGUAAGGUAUCUGGCCGCAAUUUUCGAACUGCGUCCGGCCCGUCGCAAGCGAGGCCAGUGUUUCCCGAAUGUACGGAUUUAAUGCCGUCUACGGGCCUGGCCAGCUGUUGGUUGACGGUGUCCUAGGACUGGCAAUUUAUGAUACCGGUCGGCGACGCUACUGCUUUGGGUACUUUCAGGACCCGUCUUGAAACACGGACCAAGGAGUCUAACAUGUGCGCGAGUCAUUGGGAACUGUAAAGCCUAAAGGCGCAAUGAAAGUGAAGGUCGGCCUCGCGCCGACCGAGGGAGGAUGGGCCGUGUCACGAUGCGGCCCCGCACUCCCGGGGCGUCUCGUUCUCAUUGCGAGAAGAGGCGCACCCAGAGCGUACACGUUGGGACCCGAAAGAUGGU